This 631-nucleotide ribosomal RNA is filed under the name Streptomyces sp. MIDD19. Its description in RNAcentral is "bacterial SSU rRNA". It matches the Rfam family "Bacterial small subunit ribosomal RNA", at positions 157 to 802 of the family's 1533-position model. The record is from RNAcentral. Lineage: Bacteria; Bacillati; Actinomycetota; Actinomycetes; Kitasatosporales; Streptomycetaceae.
CGGGGUCUAAUACCGGAUACCACUCCUGCCUGCAUGGGCGGGGGUUGAAAGCUCCGGCGGUGAAGGAUGAGCCCGCGGCCUAUCAGCUUGUUGGUGGGGUAAUGGCCCACCAAGGCGACGACGGGUAGCCGGCCUGAGAGGGCGACCGGCCACACUGGGACUGAGACACGGCCCAGACUCCUACGGGAGGCAGCAGUGGGGAAUAUUGCACAAUGGGCGAAAGCCUGAUGCAGCGACGCCGCGUGAGGGAUGACGGCCUUCGGGUUGUAAACCUCUUUCAGCAGGGAAGAAGCGAAAGUGACGGUACCUGCAGAAGAAGCGCCGGCUAACUACGUGCCAGCAGCCGCGGUAAUACGUAGGGCGCAAGCGUUGUCCGGAAUUAUUGGGCGUAAAGAGCUCGUAGGCGGUUUGUCACGUCGGAUGUGAAAGCCCGAGGCUUAACCUCGGGUCUGCAUUCGAUACGGGCUAGCUAGAGUGUGGUAGGGGAGAUCGGAAUUCCUGGUGUAGCGGUGAAAUGCGCAGAUAUCAGGAGGAACACCGGUGGCGAAGGCGGAUCUCUGGGCCAUUACUGACGCUGAGGAGCGAAAGCGUGGGGAGCGAACAGGAUUANAUACCCUGGUAGUCCACGCCC